UACGUAGGAGGCAAGCGUUGUCCGGAAUUACUGGGCGUAAAGCGUGCGCAGGCGGUUUUGUAAGCCAGAUGUGAAAUCCCCGGGCUUAACCUGGGAAUGGCAUUUGGGACUGCAAGGCUGGAGUGCGGCAGAGGAGACUGGAAUUCCUGGUGUAGCAGUGAAAUGCGUAGAUAUCAGGAGGAAUACCGAUGGCGAAGGCAGGUCUCUGGGCUGACACUGACGCUCAUGCACGAAAGCGUGGGGAGCAAACAGG
RNAcentral lists this ribosomal RNA (253 nucleotides) under uncultured bacterium. Its description in RNAcentral is "partial 16S ribosomal RNA". It matches the Rfam family "Bacterial small subunit ribosomal RNA", at positions 524 to 776 of the family's 1533-position model. The record is from RNAcentral.